UGGGGAAUAUUGGACAAUGGGCGCAAGCCUGAUCCAGCAAUGCCGCGUGUGUGAAGAAGGCCUUCGGGUUGUAAAGCACUUUUAUCAGGAGCGAAACGCUGUCGGCUAAUACCCGGCGGAACUGACGGUACCUGAGGAAUAAGCACCGGCUAACUUCGUGCCAGCAGCCGCGGUAAUACGAAGGGUGCAAGCGUUAAUCGGAAUUACUGGGCGUAAAGCGUGCGUAGGCGGUUUCUUAAGUCUGCUGUGAAAUCCCCGGGCUCAACCUGGGAAUGGCAGUGGAUACUGGGAGGCUAGAGUGUGUCAGAGGGUGGUGGAAUUCCCGGUGUNAGCGGUGAAAUGCGUAGAGAUCGGGAGGAACAUCAGUGGCGAAGGCGGCCACCUGGGACAACACUGACGCUGAGGCACGAAAGCGUGGGNUGCAAACAGGAAGUUAGAUACCCUGGUAGUCCACGCCCUAAACGAUGCGAACUGGAUGUUGGUCUCAACUCGGAGAAUCAGUGUCGAAGCUAACGCGUUAAGUUCGCCGCC
Molecule: ribosomal RNA, 531 nt
Filed under: uncultured bacterium
Lineage: Bacteria
Description: partial 16S ribosomal RNA
Rfam family: Bacterial small subunit ribosomal RNA
Source: RNAcentral